Molecule: non-coding RNA, 95 nt
Filed under: Levilactobacillus brevis
Lineage: Bacteria; Bacillati; Bacillota; Bacilli; Lactobacillales; Lactobacillaceae
Description: Lactobacillus brevis TPP sequence
Rfam family: TPP riboswitch aptamer (THI element)
About the family: Vitamin B(1) in its active form thiamin pyrophosphate (TPP) is an essential coenzyme that is synthesised by coupling of pyrimidine and thiazole moieties in bacteria. The previously detected thiamin-regulatory element, thi box was extended, resulting in a new, highly conserved RNA secondary structure, the THI element, which is widely distributed in eubacteria and also occurs in some archaea.
Source: RNAcentral
AAAUGCAGCUAGGGGAGCAAUUUGCUGAGACCAUUUUUGGGAACCCUUUGAACCUGUGAGUCAAUACUCGCGUAGGGAAGCUUAACGAUAUGAGU